Molecule: ribosomal RNA, 263 nt
Filed under: uncultured archaeon
Lineage: Archaea
Description: partial 16S ribosomal RNA
Rfam family: Archaeal small subunit ribosomal RNA
Source: RNAcentral
UAGCUGUAAACGAUACUCGCUAGGUGUCGGCCACGGUGCGACCGUUGUCGGUGCCGUAGGGAAGCCGUGAAGCGAGCCACCUGGGAAGUACGGCCGCAAGGCUGAAACUUAAAGGAAUUGGCGGGGGGAGCACCACAACGGGUGGAGCUUGCGGUUUAAUUUGGAUUCAACGCCGGAAAUCUUACCGGGACCGACAGCAACAUGAAGGCCAGGCUGAAGACUUUGCCGGAUUAGCUGAGAGGAGGUGCAUGGCGUAGUCGUGU